UACGAAGGGGGCUAGCGUUGCUCGGAAUCACUGGGCGUAAAGGGUGCGUAGGCGGGUCUUUAAGUCAGCGGUGAAAUCCUGGAGCUCAACUCCAGAACUGCCUUUGAUACUGAAGAUCUUGAGUUCGGGAGAGGUGAGUGGAACUGCGAGUGUAGAGGUGAAAUUCGUAGAUAUUCGCAAGAACACCAGUGGCGAAGGCGGCUCACUGGCCCGAUACUGACGCUGAGGCACGAAAGCGUGGGGAGCAAACAGG
RNAcentral lists this ribosomal RNA (253 nucleotides) under uncultured bacterium. RNAcentral describes it as "partial 16S ribosomal RNA". It matches the Rfam family "Bacterial small subunit ribosomal RNA", at positions 524 to 776 of the family's 1533-position model. The record is from RNAcentral.